Molecule: long non-coding RNA, 199 nt
Organism: Corapipo altera (White-ruffed manakin)
Lineage: Eukaryota; Metazoa; Chordata; Aves; Passeriformes; Pipridae
Exons: 3
Source: RefSeq, a predicted model, not a curated record
AUGAUGACCCCCCUCACCUUGCAGGGCCAUCAAGGUGGAGGUGUACGACUGGGACCGGGACGGCAGCCACGACUUCAUCGGGGAGUUCCGCACGAGCCUGCGGGAGCUGGCGCGGGGCCGGAGUCCCCCCAACAUCUACGAGGUCGUGAACCCCCGCAAGAAGCUGAAGAAGAAAAAAUACCUGAACUCGGGCACGGUG